Molecule: ribosomal RNA, 324 nt
Filed under: uncultured Actinomycetes bacterium
Lineage: Bacteria; Bacillati; Actinomycetota; Actinomycetes
Description: bacterial SSU rRNA
Rfam family: Bacterial small subunit ribosomal RNA
Source: RNAcentral
GAUGAACGCUGGCGGCGUGCUUAACACAUGCAAGUCGAACGAUGACCCCCAGCUUGCUGGGGUGAUUAGUGGCGAACGGGUGAGUAACACGUGAGUAACCUGCCCCUGACUCUGGGAUAAGCCCGGGAAACUGGGUCUAAUACUGGAUAUGCACCGUAAGCCGCAUGGCUUUUGGUGGAAAGAUUUUUUGGUCAGGGAUGGACUCGCGGCCUAUCAGCUUGUUGGUGAGGUAAUGGCUCACCAAGGCGACGACGGGUAGCCGGCCUGAGAGGGUGACCGGCCACACUGGGACUGAGACACGGCCCAGACUCCUACGGGUGGCUG